UACGUAGGGGACAAGCGUUGUCCGGAAUGACUGGGCGUAAAGGGCGCGUAGGCGGUCUGAUAAGUCAGAUGUGAAAGGUACCGGCUCAACCGGUGACGUGCAUUUGAGACUGUCAGACUUGAGUAUUGGAGAGGCAAGUGGAAUUCCUAGUGUAGCGGUGAAAUGCGUAGAUAUUAGGAGGAACACCAGUGGCGAAGGCGGCUUGCUGGACAAAUACUGACGCUGAGGUGCGAAAGCGUGGGGAGCGAACAGG
This 253-nucleotide ribosomal RNA is filed under the name uncultured bacterium. RNAcentral describes it as "partial 16S ribosomal RNA". It matches the Rfam family "Bacterial small subunit ribosomal RNA", at positions 524 to 776 of the family's 1533-position model. The record is from RNAcentral.